Long non-coding RNA from Zalophus californianus (California sea lion), 440 nucleotides. RefSeq lists it as uncharacterized. The transcript has 3 exons. The record is from RefSeq and is a predicted model, not a curated record. Lineage: Eukaryota; Metazoa; Chordata; Mammalia; Carnivora; Otariidae.
GAGGUGGACUCAGAAACAGGGAGAAAUCUGCUUCACAGAACAACAGGAACUCAUUAAACCUGGAGCUGGAAGGACCUAGGUUACUGCCAUGCAGACUCUUCCCCAAGUGAGGGAAGAAGUGGGGGAAAGCCUAUUAAAUAAAUAGCAAAUAAUGAACAAGAUCAUAUCAUAUGAAGAAAAGAAAAGGAUGUCUACUCCAGGUAAAUUCAAUGAGACAAGCAUGCCAGUAUGAAGCUUGUGAAGACCAUCUCAACACUAGAUCAAGAAAAAUGGACUUUAAAACCAUUGUCAAGUUCAUGCUUGAGAUUGAAGACCCACCAAAGGCAUGGAGCAGCCAGCAUGCAUACUUACUUUGCCGGUAUUUGGCUAGGAAGCCACCUCCUUGUUGACCUUCAUCUGUCCUGAAUUUUAAAAACAUGCUGUCUCCACUAGAACGGAUG